Molecule: non-coding RNA, 952 nt
Organism: Callithrix jacchus (white-tufted-ear marmoset)
Lineage: Eukaryota; Metazoa; Chordata; Mammalia; Primates; Cebidae
Source: RefSeq, a predicted model, not a curated record
UCUCUGCUAUUCCACCCACCUCACCCUUCAAACCUAAAUUUGAACCUGCUGCUCACCGGCCUAGCACUGCUCUCACCAUGGCUCUCAGAGAUGCUGAUGUGCAAAAGCAGAUUAAGCAUAUGAUGGCUUUCAUUGAAUAAGAAGCCAAUGAGAAAGCAGAAGAAACAGAUGCAAAGGCAGAAGACUUCAACAUAGAGAAAGGUCAGCUUGUGCAAACUCAAAGACUAAAGAUUAUGGAAUAUUAUGAGAAGAAAGAGAAACAGAUUGAGCAGCAGAGGAAAAUUCAGAUGUCCAGUUUGAUGAAUCAAGCAAGGCUCAAAGUCCUUGGAGCAAGAGAAGACCUUAUCACAGACCUACUAAAUGAAGCGCAACAGAGGCUGAGCAAGGUAGUAAAAGAUACAACCAGGUACCAAAUGCUGCUGGAUGGACUGGUUCUCCAGAGUUUGUACCAGUUGCUGGAGCCCCGAAUGACUGUUCGACGCAGGAAACAAGAUUUCCGUCUGGUAAAGGCUGUGGUGCAAAGGCAAUCUCAAUGUACAAAAUUGCCACCAAAAACGAUGUUGAUGUCCAAAUUGACCGGGAGUCCUACCUGCCUGAGGACAUAGUUGGUGGAGUUGAGAUCCACAGUGGGGAUUGUAAAAUAAAGGUUUUCAACACCCUGGAAAGACGGCUGGAUCUCAUAGACCAGCAGAUGAUGCCAGAAGUCCAGAGAGCCUUGUUUGGUGCAAAUGCCAACUGGAAGUUUUUGGACUAAGGCUUCGGGAGAUGGAGCUCAUCCUCAGCUCUCCUGCUGUGAUGUGGAAGCUUCUGAUAUUUGAGGAAACAUGAUGUCUCUGUAGCUUCCUCUUUACUGCCCCAAUGUUGCUCUGUAUUUAUCAGUGAUGCCUCUGUCACUAAUGCCUUGCCUAAUCGUUUACAAUGGCAGAAAGCUUCAUGUAAUAUGAUCAAGACC